GAGGAGGAAGUGGAGAAUGGAUUGGCGGUCAUCGUGUGCCGUAACAGCGGCGGGGUUCAGAGUUUGGCUUCUUCCCCCGCCACAUGCUUCCUCCGUCGAUUGGCUCCACUCCCUCAGGCUUGUCACGGGGAGGUAGAAGAUGUCAUCUGGUGGUGUCAUCCCAACAGUCAGGCUGAUUGCUUUCAUGGGUGAGAGAAGAGAGGGAAUGGAGUUUCAGCAGAGUCGACAGGUUGCCACAUUCCCUCGUGAUAUCUUCAAAUAUGGCUGGAGGGAGAGAGAAUUAAGGGGCCCCUUUGAAACCUUCCAACAAAGUAUGAAAUCGCUGCGCACGAGCACUUUGAUCAGCCAACGGUCAAGCGGCGGCCCUGCAGUCGGCCAUCUCUCCACAUUACCGUUGGGAGCCUCAUCCCCAGCACGGUGC
Molecule: long non-coding RNA, 421 nt
Organism: Solea senegalensis (Senegalese sole)
Lineage: Eukaryota; Metazoa; Chordata; Actinopteri; Pleuronectiformes; Soleidae
Exons: 3
Source: RefSeq, a predicted model, not a curated record